Molecule: ribosomal RNA, 498 nt
Filed under: uncultured bacterium
Lineage: Bacteria
Description: partial 16S ribosomal RNA
Rfam family: Bacterial small subunit ribosomal RNA
Source: RNAcentral
AUUGAACGCUGGCGGCAUGCUUUACACAUGCAAGUCGAACGGUAACAGGCCGCAAGGUGCUGACGAGUGGCGAACGGGUGAGUAAUGCAUCGGAACGUGCCCAGUCGGGAGGGAUAACUGCUCGAAAGAGCAGCUAAUACCGCAUACGAUCUAUGGAUGAAAGCGGGGGACCGUAAGGCCUCGCGCGAUUGGAACGGCCGAUGUCAGAUUAGGUAGUUGGUGGGGUAAAGGCUCACCAAGCCAACGAUCUGUAGCUGGUCUGAGAGGACGACCAGCCACACUGGGACUGAGACACGGCCCAGACGCCUACGGGAGGCAGCAGUGGGGAAUUUUGGACAAUGGGGGCAACCCUGAUCCAGCAAUGCCGCGUGCAGGAAGAAGGCCUUCGGGUUGUAAACUGCUUUUGUACGGAACGAAACGGUCUGGGUUAAUACCCUGGGCUAAUGACGGUACCGUAAGAAUAAGCACCGGCUAACUACGUGCCAGCAGCCGCGGUAA